UGGCGCGGCGGCUCCGUUCGCCGGAGCAGCGUGCAGAGAAGAGAUCCCGCGCGCUGCUCCGUCGAACGUGGCUUCCUGCGUCG
Molecule: microRNA precursor, 83 nt
Filed under: Triticum aestivum (bread wheat)
Lineage: Eukaryota; Viridiplantae; Streptophyta; Magnoliopsida; Poales; Poaceae
Also listed under: 2 other names
Description: MIR9657 microRNA precursor family
Rfam family: MIR9657 microRNA precursor family
Source: Rfam by way of RNAcentral